CCUACGGGUAGCAGCAGUGAGGAAUAUUGGUCAAUGGACGCAAGUCUGAACCAGCCAUGCCGCGUGCAGGAAGACGGCUCUAUGAGUUGUAAACUGCUUUUGUACGAGGGUAAACGCAGAUACGCGUAUCUGUCUGAAAGUAUCGUACGAAUAAGGAUCGGCUAACUCCUUGCCAGCCGCCGCGGUAAUACGGAGGAUUCAAGCGUUAUCCGGCUUUAUUGGGUUUAAAGGGUUCGUAGGCGGUCGGAUAAGUUAGAGGUGAAAUCCCGAGGCUCAACUUCGGAAUUGCCUCUGAUACUGUUCGGCUAGAGAGUAGUUGCGGUAGGCGGAAUGUAUGGUGUAGCGGUGAAAUGCUUAGAGAUCAUACAGAACACCGAUUGCGAAGGCAGCUUACCAAGCUACUUCUGACGUUGAGGCACGAAAGCGUGGGGAGCAAACAGGAUUAGAUACCCUUGUAGUC
This 460-nucleotide ribosomal RNA is filed under the name uncultured bacterium. RNAcentral's name for it is "partial 16S ribosomal RNA". It matches the Rfam family "Bacterial small subunit ribosomal RNA", at positions 338 to 795 of the family's 1533-position model. The record is from RNAcentral.